GAUGAACGCUAGCGGCAGGCUUAAUACAUGCAAGUCGAGGGGCAGCGCGGGUAGCAAUACCUGGCGGCAACCGGCAAACGGGUGCGGAACACGUACACAACCUUCCUUAAAGUGGGGGAUAGCCCAAAAAAAUUUGGAUUAAUACCUCAUAAAGUCCCGCGGCGGCAUCGCCUGGGGAAUUAAAAAUUUAUUGCUUUAAAAUGGGUGUGCGUAUGAUUAGGUAGUUGGUGUAGGUAACGGCUCACCAAGCCUUCAAUCAUUAACUGGUGUGAGAGCACAACCAGUCACACGGGCACUGAAACACGGGCCCAACUCCUACGGGAGGCAGCAGUAAGGAAUAUUGGUCGAUGGACGCAAGUCUGAACCAGCCAUGCCGCGUGAAGGAUGACUGCCCUCUGGGUUGUAAACUUCUUUUAUCUGGGACAAAAACGGGGCUUUCUAGCUCAACUGACGGUACCAAAGGAAUAAGCACCGGCUAACUCCGUG
Molecule: ribosomal RNA, 486 nt
Filed under: uncultured bacterium
Lineage: Bacteria
Description: bacterial SSU rRNA
Rfam family: Bacterial small subunit ribosomal RNA
Source: RNAcentral